RNAcentral lists this ribosomal RNA (427 nucleotides) under uncultured bacterium. RNAcentral's name for it is "partial 16S ribosomal RNA". It matches the Rfam family "Bacterial small subunit ribosomal RNA", at positions 355 to 774 of the family's 1533-position model. The record is from RNAcentral.
UGGGGAAUAUUGCACAAUGGGCGCAAGCCUGAUGCAGCCAUGCCGCGUGUAUGAAGAAGGCCUUCGGGUUGUAAAGUACUUUCAGCGGGGAGGAAGGCGAUAAGGUUAAUAACCUUGUCGAUUGACGUUACCCGCAGAAGAAGCACCGGCUAACUCCGUGCCAGCAGCCGCGGUAAUACGGAGGGUGCAAGCGUUAAUAGGCAUUACUGGGCGUAAAGCGCACGCAGGCGGUCUGUCAAGUCGGAUGUGAAAUCCCCGGGCUCAACCUGGGAACUGCAUUCGAAACUGGCAGGCUAGAGUCUUGUAGAGGGGGGUAGAAUUCCAGGUGUAGCGGUGAAAUGCGUAGAGAUCUGGAGGAAUACCGGUGGCGAAGGCGGCCCCCUGGACAAAGACUGACGCUCAGGUGCGAAAGCGUGGGGAGCAAACA